RNAcentral lists this ribosomal RNA (841 nucleotides) under uncultured soil bacterium. Its description in RNAcentral is "bacterial SSU rRNA". It matches the Rfam family "Bacterial small subunit ribosomal RNA", at positions 26 to 898 of the family's 1533-position model. The record is from RNAcentral.
AGAAUCAACGCUGGCGGCGUGCCUAACACAUGCAAGUCGCACGAGAAAGUGGAGCAAUCCAUGAGUAAAGUGGCGCACGGGUGAGUAACACGUGAAUAAUCUACCUCCGAGUGGGGAACAACUGAGAGAAAUCUUAGCUAAUACCGCAUAAUACCCACGGGUCAAAGCAGUAAUGCGCUUGGAGAGGAGUUCGCGGCCGAUUAGUUAGUUGGCGGGGUAAUGGCCCACCAAGACGAUGAUCGGUAUCCGGCCUGAGAGGGCGCACGGACACACUGGAACUGAAACACGGUCCAGACUCCUACGGGAGGCAGCAGUGGGGAAUUUUGCGCAAUGGGGGAAACCCUGACGCAGCAACGCCGCGUGGAGGAUGAAAUCCCUUGGGAUGUAAACUCCUUUCGAUAGGGAAGAUAAUGACGGUACCUAUAGAAGAAGCCCCGGCUAACUUCGUGCCAGCAGCCGCGGUAAUACGAGGGGGGCAAGCGUUGUUCGGAAUUAUUGGGCGUAAAGGGUGCGUAGGCGGUUUGACAAGUCUUAUGUGAAAUCUUCGGGCUCAACCCGAAGUCUGCAUAGGAAACUGUCGGGCUUGAGUAUGGGAGAGGUGAGUGGAAUUUCCGGUGUAGCGGUGAAAUGCGUAGAUAUCGGAAGGAACACCUGUGGCGAAAGCGGCUCACUGGACCAUAACUGACGCUGAGGCACGAAAGCUAGGGGAGCAAACAGGAUUAGAUACCCUGGUAGUCCUAGCCCUAAACGAUGAUUGCUUGAUGUGGCAGGUACCCAAUCCUGCCGUGUCGAAGCUAACGCGAUAAGCAAUCCGCCUGGGGAGUACGGUCGCAAGGCUGAA